This 72-nucleotide transfer RNA is filed under the name Camelus bactrianus (Bactrian camel). It matches the Rfam family "tRNA". Rfam says of the family: Transfer RNA (tRNA) molecules are approximately 80 nucleotides in length. Lineage: Eukaryota; Metazoa; Chordata; Mammalia; Artiodactyla; Camelidae. The record is from Rfam by way of RNAcentral. RNAcentral also lists the same sequence under 2 other names.
GUGGGUAUAGCUCAGUGGUAGCGUGCAAGCUUAGCAUGCAUGAGGUCCUGAGUUCAAUCCCCAGUACUUUCA